Molecule: long non-coding RNA, 224 nt
Filed under: Capsicum annuum
Lineage: Eukaryota; Viridiplantae; Streptophyta; Magnoliopsida; Solanales; Solanaceae
Description: long non-coding RNA (CANN_LNC011408)
Source: RNAcentral
AUUCGGUAAGAAGUGCCAACAUGGGCCAAAUUUAAUGAACACAAGUUGUAAAUAAACAAUGUUCGAAUAUAGAAAAAUAGGCAAACAUGAAUACCAAUCCCACGGCCUAGUAUAGUCAGUACAAGAGCAUCUAAUAUCAAUAAUACAACCCAAUGGUCUUAAAGUAGUCAAUACAUCUGUUUCAAAAUAAAAAAUUGAAUAACAAUAAGAUAGAAGGAAAUGGG